GUCAGGAUAGCUCAGUUG
This 18-nucleotide transfer RNA is filed under the name Hordeum bogdanii. Its description in RNAcentral is "partial transfer RNA-Phe". RNAcentral also lists the same sequence under 36 other names. Lineage: Eukaryota; Viridiplantae; Streptophyta; Magnoliopsida; Poales; Poaceae. The record is from RNAcentral.